RNAcentral lists this ribosomal RNA (570 nucleotides) under uncultured bacterium. RNAcentral describes it as "partial 16S ribosomal RNA". It matches the Rfam family "Bacterial small subunit ribosomal RNA", at positions 355 to 914 of the family's 1533-position model. The record is from RNAcentral.
UGGGGAAUAUUGCACAAUGGGCGCAAGCCUGAUGCAGCCAUGCCGCGUGUGUGAAGAAGGCCUUCGGGUUGUAAAGCACUUUCAGCGAGGAGGAAGGUGGUGAGCUUAAUACGCUCAUCAAUUGACGUUACUCGCAGAAGAAGCACCGGCUAACUCCGUGCCAGCAGCCGCGGUAAUACGGAGGGUGCAAGCGUUAAUCGGAAUUACUGGGCGUAAAGCGCACGCAGGCGGUUUGUUAAGUCAGAUGUGAAAUCCCCGGGCUCAACCUGGGAACUGCAUUUGAAACUGGCAAGCUAGAGUCUCGUAGAGGGGGGUAGAAUUCCAGGUGUAGCGGUGAAAUGCGUAGAGAUCUGGAGGAAUACCGGUGGCGAAGGCGGCCCCCUGGACGAAGACUGACGCUCAGGUGCGAAAGCGUGGGGCAGCAAACAGGAUUAGAUACCCUGGUAGUCCACGCUGUAAAACGAUGUCGAUUUUGGAGGUUGUGCCCUUGAGGCGUGGCCUCCGGAGCUAACGCGUUAAAUCGACCGCCUGGGGAGUACGGCCGCAAGGUUAAAACUUAAAUGAAUUGAC